AGUGAACGCUGGCGGUAGGCCUAACACAUGCAAGUCGAACGGCAGCACAGUAAGAGCUUGCUCUUACGGGUGGCGAGUGGCGGACGGGUGAGGAAUACAUCGGAAUCUACUUUUUCGUGGGGGAUAACGUAGGGAAACUUACGCUAAUACCGCAUACGACCUACGGGUGAAAGCAGGGGAUCUUCGGACCUUGCGCGAUUGAAUGAGCCGAUGUCGGAUUAGCUAGUUGGCUGGGUAAAGGCCCACCAAGGCGACGAUCCGUAGCUGGUCUGAGAGGAUGAGCAGCCACACUGGAACUGAGACACGGUCCAGACUCCUACGGGAGGAAGCAGUGGGGAAUAUUGGGCAAUGGGCGAAAGCCUGAUGCAGCAAUACCGCGUGAGUGAAGAAGGACUUCGGAUUGUAAAGCCCUUUUGUUGGGAAAGAAAAGAAGCGGGUGAAAACGCCGCGGUUCUGACGGUACCUAAAGAAUAAGCCCCGGCUAACUUCGUG
RNAcentral lists this ribosomal RNA (492 nucleotides) under uncultured bacterium. Its description in RNAcentral is "partial 16S ribosomal RNA". It matches the Rfam family "Bacterial small subunit ribosomal RNA", at positions 29 to 507 of the family's 1533-position model. The record is from RNAcentral.